Molecule: ribosomal RNA, 455 nt
Filed under: uncultured bacterium
Lineage: Bacteria
Description: SSU rRNA
Rfam family: Bacterial small subunit ribosomal RNA
Source: RNAcentral
AGAAUCAACGCUGGCGGCGUGCCUAACACAUGCAAGUCGAACGAGAAAGGGACUUCGGUCCUGAGUAUAGUGGCGCACGGGUGAGUAACACGUGAAUAAUCUACCUCCGAGUGGGGAAUAACCUGGAGAAAUCUAGGCUAAUACCGCAUAACACUUACGAGUCAAAGCAGCAAUGCGCUUGGAGAGGAGUUCGCGGCAGAUUAGUUAGUUGGCGGGGUAAUGGCCCACCAAGACGAUGAUCUGUAUCCGGCCUGAGAGGGCGCACGGACACACUGGAACUGAAACACGGUCCAGACUCCUACGGGAGGCAGCAGUGGGGAAUUUUGCGCAAUGGGGGAAACCCUGACGCAGCAACGCCGCGUGGAGGAUGAAGUAUCUUGGUACGUAAACUCCUUUCGAUGGGAAGAUAUGACGGUACCAUAGAGAAGCCCGGCUAACUUCGCGCCAGCAGCCGC